Zootermopsis nevadensis is the source of this 1032-nucleotide long non-coding RNA. RefSeq lists it as uncharacterized. Lineage: Eukaryota; Metazoa; Arthropoda; Insecta; Blattodea; Termopsidae. The record is from RefSeq and is a predicted model, not a curated record.
AGUUCCCGAAAUUGUCAUAAGGCAAGUGUGCGGUAACCCUAAGAAAUCAGAGAGGCGCCGACAUUUUUGUCUUAUCAUGCCAGUAGCAAGGCUGUCUUGUCUCCCCCCGACUACUAGAAUUCAAUCUGAACUAGUUCACUCCUGCCAGAUCCGGCCCACAUCAGGCCGUUGUCUUCAUCCGGUUUUACGUGUCCCGCACGAACGUCACGAACAUCUACUGCAAAGCAUCUGUAAAGGCAGGCAACGUUGGCCCGCCAGCCCCAGGGCCGGGUGAAAUCUCACUGCCUGCGCCGAGAACCAACACAGACCAGUCCCUAGUCAAUCGCUUCAGACUGAGCCAUCCCGGUUUACGAGAGACGUACAUUAAUAAAAAUAAAAAUAAACUCGAAUUUCUGUCCAUUCGAAGGCGCUGUGAAUGAGUGAAAUGUUAUUAUUUGUCGACGUCAUCUACUGCAAGAGACGAAGCUUAUAACAAAUACUCCACGAGGAAACAAACGGUCAAGUUAUCUGUUCUGGCACAGAUUACACCUUAGAAAUGGCCUCGACAAACAGCCAGCCUCGGCGGACAAGCCGGCGCAUGCUCGGUAACGAACGACUCGUGAGUCAAACAUGGCCGAACACGGUCGGACGUUCCAGUCCGUGGAAACAAUUGUUUUCCUACACAGCCAAUAGCACCAAUGCUGGAAAUAAUGGGCGUGUUCACACGCCGAGAAGAUACAAGCUGACAGCCAGCAGAAAUAUAAAUACAGAACGAAUGUGAAGCUGUGAUACAGACCACGAAGACCUUGGUCAGCACAGAAUUUUGGCGUCCGCAAAGAAAAUUUGCAAAAAUGCGUACAAUGGUCCUGGCGCUGCACACACUACAGUAUUAAGAUGCCUUUAUUCCAAUCUUAGAAAAAUGUUUCCUUAACGACCCAAUACCUUUUCAAACGUAACGUAAUAUCAUCCAUUCUUAUUAUGGAUCAAAUCAUGUAUUAAAAACAUGAACGCUAUUUUUUAUAAAAAUUAAUAAAAUGUGUAUUAGUAAAGUAA